GACUCUGCGUUGAAGAAGAGGAGUAGUCCGUGUAAUUCUUUUAGAGAGCUGGUGACGGUGAAAAUCCAGCAGAUAGUAUGGAUGAAGGGAGCUUUGGAGCAGAACUUCCAAAAGUGGGUGCAAGAAAUUUGCAUCAAUUAGGGUGGAACCGCGAAAGCAAGCCUUUCGUCCCUUUG
RNAcentral lists this non-coding RNA (176 nucleotides) under Peptoclostridium litorale. RNAcentral's name for it is "Clostridium litorale T-box sequence". It matches the Rfam family "T-box leader". From Rfam's summary of the family: Uncharged tRNA acts as the effector for transcription antitermination of genes in the T-box leader family. T-boxes are found upstream of many aminoacyl-tRNA synthetase genes and some amino acid biosynthetic genes usually in Gram-positive bacteria. The anticodon of a specific tRNA base pairs to a specifier sequence within the T-box motif, and the NCCA acceptor tail of the tRNA base pairs to a conserved bulge in the T-box antiterminator hairpin. The record is from RNAcentral. Lineage: Bacteria; Bacillati; Bacillota; Clostridia; Peptostreptococcales; Peptoclostridiaceae.